AUACGGAGGGUGCAAGUGUUAAUCGGAAUUACUGGGCGUAAAGCGUACGUAGGCGGUUCGUUAAGUUAGAUGUGAAAGCCCCGGGCUUAACCUGGGAACUGCAUUUAAAACUGGCUAACUAGAGUUAAGUAGAGGGGAGUGGAAUUUCAGGUGUAGCGGUGAAAUGCGUAGAGAUCUGAAGGAACACCAGUGGCGAAGGCGACUCCCUGGACUUGAACUGACGCUGAGGUACGAAAGCGUGGGUAGCAAACGGGAUUAGAAACCCCAGUAGUCC
This 274-nucleotide ribosomal RNA is filed under the name uncultured bacterium. RNAcentral's name for it is "partial 16S ribosomal RNA". It matches the Rfam family "Bacterial small subunit ribosomal RNA", at positions 523 to 796 of the family's 1533-position model. The record is from RNAcentral.